CUCUGUUCCAGUAAAUGGAUCAGGGCAAAGGAG
This is a non-coding RNA of Levilactobacillus koreensis, 33 nucleotides long. Lineage: Bacteria; Bacillati; Bacillota; Bacilli; Lactobacillales; Lactobacillaceae. The record is from Rfam.